RNAcentral lists this long non-coding RNA (450 nucleotides) under Ursus maritimus (polar bear). Its description in RNAcentral is "lncRNA (ENSUMAG00000004855.1)". The record is from RNAcentral. Lineage: Eukaryota; Metazoa; Chordata; Mammalia; Carnivora; Ursidae.
CAGGGGUCUCCCAUGAAUUAAUCGCAUCCAGGGUCCAUUGAACUGGAAUUCUAAACUGCAAUCCACGCACAGCAGCCAUUUGGACCUCCGAAGAAACUGAGACUCUGCUUCUCUUUUCACUCCCCCUCCCCCCGCUUCAGAUAUCCUCUGAGGAUUGAUGGGUGUGUCAGAGAGCCACUGGUGUUUGUCCCAAGUAAUUGGAUUGACCCUUUGAAGAAAAGGGAUCAUCUGGAUUCAAGAUGUCAGUAGAAGAAGGGGACCUCAUGAAGACCUGAGGAGGAGACAGAGAUGUUGGAAGGGAACUGGAAUACUGUGGCCAGGGAGGCAUCUGGAGAAGGGAGAUUCAAGAAGUGUCUGGUGCUUCAGAGAAGACCCACAAAGCGAGAUUCACUUCUUAUCAUCUUUUUGGAUGGCAAAUAUCUUUGGCAAUUCCACAAACAUGCCUUCUGA